GAUGAACGCUGGCGGCGUGCCUAAUACAUGCAAGUCGAGCGAACGGACGAGAAGCUUGCUUCUCUGAUGUUAGCGGCGGACGGGUGAGUAACACGUGGAUAACCUACCUAUAAGACUGGAAUAACUUCGGGAAACCGGAGCUAAUACCGGAUGAUAUUUUGAACCGCAUGGUUCAAAAGUGAAAGACGGUCUUGCUGUCACUUAUAGAUGGAUCCGCGCUGCAUUAGCUAGUUGGUAAGGUAACGGCUUACCAAGGCAACGAUGCAUAGCCGACCUGAGAGGGUGAUCGGCCACACUGGAACUGAGACACGGUCCAGACUCCUACGGGAGGCAGCAGUAGGGAAUCUUCCGCAAUGGGCGAAAGCCUGACGGAGCAACGCCGCGAGAGUGAUGAAGGUCUUCGGAUCGUAAAACUCUGUUAUUAGGGAAGAACAUAUGUGUAAGUAACUGUGCACAUCUUGACGGUACCUAAUCAGAAAGCCACGGCUAACUACGUG
This 497-nucleotide ribosomal RNA is filed under the name uncultured bacterium. RNAcentral's name for it is "partial 16S ribosomal RNA". It matches the Rfam family "Bacterial small subunit ribosomal RNA", at positions 28 to 507 of the family's 1533-position model. The record is from RNAcentral.